RNAcentral lists this ribosomal RNA (481 nucleotides) under uncultured bacterium. RNAcentral describes it as "partial 16S ribosomal RNA". It matches the Rfam family "Bacterial small subunit ribosomal RNA", at positions 28 to 506 of the family's 1533-position model. The record is from RNAcentral.
GAUGAACGCUAGCGGCAGGCCUAAUACAUGCAAGUCGGACGGGAUUCAGGAGCUUGCUUCUGAUGAGAGUGGCGCACGGGUGCGUAACACGUAUGUAACCUACCUUUAUCAGGGGGAUAGCCUCUCGAAAGAGAGAUUAAGCCCGCAUAAAAUCACAGCACAGCAUUGUGUAAUGAUCAAAUAUUUAUAGGAUAAAGAUGGGCAUGCGGAACAUUAGCUAGAUGGCGGGGUAACGGCCCACCAUGGCGACGAUGUUUAGGGGAUCUGAGAGGAUGGCCCCCCCCACUGUACCGGAGCCCCGGCCAAGCCCCCACCGGGGGGCAGCCGAAGGGAAAUUUGGUCAAGGGGCGGAGGCCUGACCCCGCCAUCCCGCUGGCGGGAAGCCGGCCCUGCGAGUUGUAACCUGCUUUUAUACGGGAAUAAACCCAGAUACGUUUAUUUGGCUGAAUGUACUUAAAAAAUAAGAAUCGGCUACCCCCGU